UACAGAGGGUGCAAGCGUUAAUCGGAAUUACUGGGCGUAAAGGGUGCGUAGGUGGUUGAAUAAGUUAGGUGUGAAAGUCCUGGGCUUAACCUGGGGACUGCGCCUAAUACUGUUUAACUAGAGUACUGUAGAGGAAGGUGGAAUUUCCAGUGUAGCGGUGAAAUGCGUAGAUAUUGGAAGGAACAUCUGUGGCGAAGGCGACCUUCUGGACAGAUACUGACACUGAGGCACGAAAGCGUGGGGAGCAAACAGG
This 253-nucleotide ribosomal RNA is filed under the name uncultured bacterium. RNAcentral describes it as "partial 16S ribosomal RNA". It matches the Rfam family "Bacterial small subunit ribosomal RNA", at positions 524 to 776 of the family's 1533-position model. The record is from RNAcentral.